RNAcentral lists this long non-coding RNA (1133 nucleotides) under Salvator merianae (Argentine black and white tegu). RNAcentral describes it as "lncRNA (ENSSMRG00000003802.1)". The record is from RNAcentral. Lineage: Eukaryota; Metazoa; Chordata; Lepidosauria; Squamata; Teiidae.
GGCCGUCUUUCAUUAAUAUACAGUGAGGAUUUUGUCUAAAUUACUGCUAUGAAUUUCACAGUACACGCUUUCAAAAGCCGUCUCAGGUGGCCUGAUGCAACGCGAUAGCGCCUCUGCAAAGCUACUUUCUCAAUAAUAAAAUAAAAAAAGAAGUUUAUUUUUAUUUUUAAAGGAUCUCCUGCAAUAUUGCGUGUCUCUGAACAAACAACCCUUUCAAUCGAGGUUACAGUUUUUAUUUUAUUUAUUUAUUUAUUUAAAAGGGGGGGGAACUUAAUCCUCGCCCAUCCCCCAACAAUUCAUUUCCCCACCCCCCUCUCCUUGUAGAGUGUGAUUACUUUGUCUGGAAAAAAAAAUCCGAAGUAUAACAAGGGGAGAACAGUUAGUGCUGAUUUUCAUUUGCAUAAAUUUUCAUAUAUUUUGGUGAAAAUAAUAGACUAGUGGAGAGCAGGGCUUACUGGAGUCAGUGCAAAGGAAAAUCUUACCCUGGAUCGUUUUGCAGCAGUUUUGAGGCUCACGGAUUUCCCUCUUUCCUUCACUCACCAAGAGCAAAGCCCUUCAAAUUCAAAUUCUCUAUGCCUUGGAGUUUCUUUGGAAUCUCUCUUUUCUUCAAGACCCAUUCUCUCACUCUCCAAACACCUUCGUGAACGAUUAACUUGGAGCCGUGCCAAGCAAGUGAAGCAGUUCCUGCCUAGGUGCUAGCUAUUAUUGCACUUUUGGGGGCACUGGUGUAACAUUUGGGAAAGGCGAGACAAGGAGAGGUAGGCAGAAAUGAAUCUAAGAGCUUAAAGGGGAAAGAUGAACCUGGGCUCAGCAGCUUUUAGCGUUUGCCAAUGAUCUCCAGGUUAGGGCACUUGUGGUGGAUGGUUGCUAUUUUCACCUUGCCGUAGAUAGGGCCGAUGACCCCAGUUUAGAAGGGCGGGGGGACACUCUUGGCAUCUUCCUUUAAGGGGCCGAGGCGACAAGAGGGAAACUUGGACACCUGCUGUGUGUCCUGACCAGGCUGUGGCUUGGGGGGGGGGGGGGGGGAGGAAGAGGAGGAAAGAGACGAGCGAAGCGGUGGCGGGGGGGGGGGAGGGGGGAGGGGAGGGAGGAGGUGAAGAAGAUGAAGAAGAAGAAAAAGGAGGGGAGCAAAG